AAAAAUACAAAAAAAUACAUACAGAAAAAAUAGAAAACAUCAAAUAUUCACUGUUUCAUUGAGUGUGAGCAGAUUCUGGGUUCCUCUUUUUCGUUUUCUAUUAUGACUUGGUCUGGUGUGCAGUUUGUACUCGUUUGAAUUAACUCCUGCUGGGUUCUAGCUGUUCUGUGGGUUCUCUUGGAUUAUCUACUGGUUUUUGUUUUCAAAAGCAUUUCUGGGUUUUGUUCUUGUAUCUGAAGGCUGAUGUGUCCUUAUUGUUGUUGCACUGACUGCUGAACCUCACUCUUCUUUUCCGUUCUCUCGAAUUCCAGGUACCCAACUAUGACUCUACAAAUUUGUAACCUGGAAUAUGAAUUUGUAUGAGGAAUUGAAGUUCAAAUGUGUUUUUCCUCUCAAUUGGUCUAUGUCCUGUAGUGUCUUUUUUACGUUUUAAUUCAGUGUAGAUGGUUACAUAAUAUACAAAUGGACUGUAAUAAGACUGCUGGGACUCAUUUGAUUAUCUAUAUUGUUUAAUCUUCAGUUUAGGAAUGUUUGAGUUUAGCAUAUUAGUUAAAUGGAAGUCAGUUGUCACAUUAGUUGUUGGAUGAAAUAGGAAUUGGUUAUUUUGUUAUUUCUGUCUUCAUAUGCUCGUAGCUUGGACAAGUUAUAACAUAAAUAAUUG
Molecule: long non-coding RNA, 661 nt
Filed under: Nicotiana benthamiana
Lineage: Eukaryota; Viridiplantae; Streptophyta; Magnoliopsida; Solanales; Solanaceae
Description: long non-coding RNA (NBEN_LNC041348)
Source: RNAcentral